GUUAGCGUAUUAAUAUAAAGAUAGUAGAUGGUGAAACCAAAGCAGGCACUCACAGGCAUAUACGGAAAUUGGAAUAACUCGGCUCUGGAGCCACCUAUCGGG
This is a long non-coding RNA of Rhagoletis pomonella (apple maggot), 102 nucleotides long. RefSeq lists it as uncharacterized. The record is from RefSeq and is a predicted model, not a curated record. The transcript is spliced from 2 exons. NCBI's taxonomy places the organism in Eukaryota, Metazoa, Arthropoda, Insecta, Diptera, Tephritidae.